This 39-nucleotide ribosomal RNA is filed under the name Matricaria chamomilla. RNAcentral's name for it is "partial 26S ribosomal RNA". RNAcentral also lists the same sequence under 2 other names. Lineage: Eukaryota; Viridiplantae; Streptophyta; Magnoliopsida; Asterales; Asteraceae. The record is from RNAcentral.
CCGCGACCCCAGGUCAGGCGGGACUACCCGCUGAGUUUA